CAAGAUUUCGAGUCCAUUCUGGCUACCUCGAUGUGUUAUCAGAGUCUAUCUACAGUACAACCGCAUUACUUCAGUGACUAAUUUCUUUCAAAGAAAUUUGUUCGAUUUGUCCGAAUAUAAAAUACAAGAAUUACAAUUGUCUCAAAAUAGAAUUCACACAAUCAAGUCUGGUGACUUGUCCAAUUUGCUACACUUGCG
Corticium candelabrum is the source of this 198-nucleotide long non-coding RNA. RefSeq lists it as uncharacterized. The record is from RefSeq and is a predicted model, not a curated record. The transcript has 3 exons. Lineage: Eukaryota; Metazoa; Porifera; Homoscleromorpha; Homosclerophorida; Plakinidae.